GAUGAACGCUGGCGGCGUGCCUAAUACAUGCAAGUCGAGCGAACAGACGAGGAGCUUGCUCCUCUGACGUUAGCGGCGGACGGGUGAGUAACACGUGGAUAACCUACCUAUAAGACUGGGAUAACUUCGGGAAACCGGAGCUAAUACCGGAUAAUAUAUUGAACCGCAUGGUUCAAUAGUGAAAGACGGUUUUGCUGUCACUUAUAGAGGGAUCCGCGCCGCAUUAGCUAGUUGGUAAGGUAACGGCUUACCAAGGCAACGAUGCGUAGCCGACCUGAGAGGGUGAUCGGCCACACUGGAACUGAGACACGGUCCAGACUCCUACGGGAGGCAGCAGUAGGGAAUCUUCCGCAAUGGGCGAAAGCCUGACGGAGCAACGCCGCGUGAGUGAUGAAGGUCUUCGGAUCGUAAAACUCUGUUAUUAGGGAAGAACAAAUGUGUAAGUAACUAUGCACGUCUUGACAGUACCUAAUCAGAAAGCCACGGCUAACUACGUG
Molecule: ribosomal RNA, 497 nt
Filed under: uncultured bacterium
Lineage: Bacteria
Description: partial 16S ribosomal RNA
Rfam family: Bacterial small subunit ribosomal RNA
Source: RNAcentral